GGGUAGAGCAGUUGGUAGCUCGUCGGGCUCAUAACCCGGAGGUCGCAGGUUCAAAUCCUGCCUCC
RNAcentral lists this transfer RNA (65 nucleotides) under bovine gut metagenome. It matches the Rfam family "tRNA", at positions 5 to 66 of the family's 71-position model. From Rfam's summary of the family: Transfer RNA (tRNA) molecules are approximately 80 nucleotides in length. Their secondary structure includes four short double-helical elements and three loops (D, anti-codon, and T loops). Further hydrogen bonds mediate the characteristic L-shaped molecular structure. tRNAs have two regions of fundamental functional importance: the anti-codon, which is responsible for specific mRNA codon recognition, and the 3' end, to which the tRNAs corresponding amino acid is attached (by aminoacyl-tRNA synthetases). tRNAs cope with the degeneracy of the genetic code in two manners: having more than one tRNA (with a specific anti-codon) for a particular amino acid; and 'wobble' base-pairing, i.e. permitting non-standard base-pairing at the 3rd anti-codon position. The record is from RNAcentral.